GUGAAUCAUCGAAUUUUUGAACGCAAAUUGCACUCUCUGGUAUUCCGGAGAGUAUGCCUGUUUGAGGGUCAGUUUAAAUAAAAAUCGGUGUGGUUGUUGCAUUUCGUGGUGACGCAACGGAUUUGGGUUGUAUCGUCUUUGGUUAAGUGAUUUAAAAUUUGGAAUGAUUUUUUUCGUAUGUAUUUAAAUGACUUUACGUAAGUUUGUGAUAUCGUAUGUUAGGUGUGGUACUUGUUAUGAUUCGUGUCA
Molecule: unclassified non-coding RNA, 249 nt
Filed under: Glomeraceae sp.
Lineage: Eukaryota; Fungi; Glomeromycota; Glomeromycetes; Glomerales; Glomeraceae
Description: partial contains 5.8S ribosomal RNA and internal transcribed spacer 2
Rfam family: 5.8S ribosomal RNA (bases 1-71)
Source: RNAcentral